This is an unclassified non-coding RNA of Prolemur simus (greater bamboo lemur), 103 nucleotides long. It matches the Rfam family "Y RNA". Rfam says of the family: Y RNAs are components of the Ro ribonucleoprotein particle (Ro RNP), in association with Ro60 and La proteins. The Y RNAs and Ro60 and La proteins are well conserved, but the function of the Ro RNP is not known. NCBI's taxonomy places the organism in Eukaryota, Metazoa, Chordata, Mammalia, Primates, Lemuridae. The record is from Ensembl.
UGUAGGUACCAAUAUUAAAAAAGAUUACAACUAAUUGAUCACAACCAGUUACAGAUCCCUUUGUUCCUUCUGCACUCCCACUGCUUCACUUGACUAGCCUAAA